UACGGAGGGGACUAGCGUUAAUCGGAAUUACUGGGCGUAAAGCGCGCGUAGGCGGUUGUUUAAGUCGGAUGUGAAAGCCCUGGGCUCAACCUGGGAACUGCAUUCGAUACUGGGCAACUAGAGUAUGAAAGAGGGAGGUAGAAUUCCAUGUGUAGCGGUGAAAUGCGUAGAUAUAUGGAGGAAUACCAGUGGCGAAGGCG
RNAcentral lists this ribosomal RNA (200 nucleotides) under uncultured bacterium. RNAcentral's name for it is "partial 16S ribosomal RNA". It matches the Rfam family "Bacterial small subunit ribosomal RNA", at positions 524 to 723 of the family's 1533-position model. The record is from RNAcentral.